CCACGGCUGGCCAACGGCGCCGAGCGCAGGGUCUGGCAGGCCCUGAUCGACCAGCUCGAGCCCGGCGACCUGGUC
This 75-nucleotide transfer RNA is filed under the name Mycolicibacterium chubuense. RNAcentral describes it as "tRNA-Ala(ggc)". The record is from RNAcentral. Lineage: Bacteria; Bacillati; Actinomycetota; Actinomycetes; Mycobacteriales; Mycobacteriaceae.